This 12314-nucleotide long non-coding RNA is filed under the name Homo sapiens (human). RNAcentral describes it as "non-protein coding lnc-CA4-3:7". Lineage: Eukaryota; Metazoa; Chordata; Mammalia; Primates; Hominidae. The record is from RNAcentral.
CUCCCGUUCCGCGCGCUCUAGUUCCGAAAGUACCUUUUUUAGACCGGACUGGGGCUCAGAGGGGUUUCCAUGACUACGGGACUCCUCCGACCGGUACCCUGCAGAUGCUUGUCAGAAAUUGGCUUGGAGGCCGGGCUCGGUGGCUGACGCCUGUAAUCCCAGCACUUUGGGAGGCCGAGGCGGGCGGAUCACGAGGUCAGAAGAUCGAGACCAUCCUAGCUAACACGGUGAAACCCCGUCUCUACUAAAAAUACAAAAAAAAAAAAAAAAAAAAAAUUAGCCGGGAGUGGUGGCGGGCGCCUGUUGUCCCAGCUACUCGGGAGGCUGAGGCAGGAGAAUGGCGUGAACCCGGGAGGCAGGGCUUGCAAUGAGCCAAGAUCGCGCCACUGCACUCCAGCCUGGGCGACAGAGCGAGACUCCGUCUCAGAAAAAAAAAAAAAGAAAGAAAUUGGCUUGGAGAUUUUUCGCCGGCCACUCCUUCUUGAGCCCUGACUGAAAAGAAAAAUGAACAGGGCUACCUUCUGCCUGGACUCACCCAAAAGCCGGUCUCCUGCAGCCUGAAGCUCUUGUACCUCUAGGCUGAAGAUGAUGAGGAUCACAGGAGGAGGAAGGCUGCCAACUUCAUGUUGCUGUUGGAAGGCUUUGGAAAAACACAGCAGGGCUGAGAGCAGCUGAAAUUUAUACCUUCCACCCGCUGAGCUGGAAUGCAAGGCCAGGGGUGGGACUAGGGACUGCAGACACCUAAGCCCUGCCCAGAAACUGACAUUUCUGGAGAAUAGCCACCCACCCUGUGUACCCUGGGUCCUUCUACAUUACCUAAGCAAGGCUCUGAGCCAAGGGAACGCCCUCCUCUGACAGAAAAAUAAGACUCCUACACCAGGCCAGUUGCAGUGGCUCACAUCUGUAAUCCCAGCACUUUGGGAGGCCAAGGCAGGAGGAUCAUUUGAGCCCAGGAGUUCAAGACCAGCCUGGGUAACAAGAGCAAGACCCUGUCUCUACAAAAUUAAAAAAAAAAAAAGUUAAAUAAUGAAAAAGACUCCUAAAUCAAAAAAGCUGUGAGUGACUGAGAAAAAGGGGCUGGCGUGGGGAGGGUGGAGGGAUGAGUAUUAACUUUUAUUAUGUAUAUUCAUUCACUCAUUCAUUUUCAACAUAAGUAUUGAAUGUCUGCUCUGGGCCAGGCGUGGGCUAGGCAUGAGAGAAUCCCAGAGAAAUUACAGUCUGGGAGCUAGGUGCCAGGUAGCAAGGGUGCAGUCUGCUCUUUCCCUUCUUCCCCCGACCCACCACACCCGCCCACCUCCACCCCCAACUUCCAGGCCUAGCACCUCUGGAAAUGAGGGCAGGGAAAAGCAGUACAGAACAGGCAGGGGUGCUCCCUUAUCACCUGCUGGUGGUAGAGAGGUGGCCUCAGUCUCCCACUGCCUUGGUCUGAUUCUGUUGCUGGAUACCUAGGCAGAUGUGAUGGUCUUUGCCUAUAGGAGCUAUGUAAUUUUCUUGAGAUAAAGCUCUGCUUCAUCUCAUCCAACUUCAUUUCUGAGAACCCAAACUCAAGUUAUGCAUAUUAAACUCUUCUAGGAUAUCUCUCGUCCUGCAGCUCUGGGGUGGGAGUGGGGGCGGGACCAUAGUAACCAACCAGCUGGGGAGUGAGGUUUCAUUUCCCCCUCCUUGUAGCACUCCUAAUCUAGAUGAAUGAUUUUCUUAAACACACACUCCCGUUGUUUUUUUUUUUGCAGGGGAGUGGGGAUGUUGUCAGGGGUAGGGAGAAAUAUACCCUCUUCCCUCUCCAAUGGCAAGGAUGCAGGGAGACAUGUAUAACUUUUGGCCAUGUGUCGUGUGUCCCACAAGAUACCUUAUAUAAUGUGAGAUAAGGAGGAUACCUGGGCUAGUUGAGGGUAGUGAGACAAGUUUGCAACCUUGUGAUAGGCCCCCUGGGCCACUUUCUAAAGUGAAGUCAACUUUAGACUUCACUUGUAAGUCUAAAGUACAUGAUGUUUCACUUCUGGUUCCUAACUCUGAGGUUACAGGGAGAGACCCACUCUGUUCUACUUCAUGUAUCACAGUUCCUGAAAUGCCAUUGGUUAGAAGUCCUUUGGGCAAACAACUGACCUUUUCUGCAAAUCCUUCUUAUCUAACAAGGCCCAGCCUAAAUGUCACCUCCAAAACCUUCCUCAACUUCCACCCCUAGGAGAGUAACAUUCUCUUUAGUACUUAUUUUGUCAUAGGACUUGUCAGACUCUAUUGUAAUUAAUUAUUAUGAUCAUUUUACAUUUCUCUCCUGUAUCUUGCUGGCUAGCAUGGGGUCUUACUGAUCUUUCAUCCUCAGCUCUCAAUAAUGGGCAUUUAUUAUCCUCAAUAAUGUGUGUUUUGGGAUGAUGAGGAGCAUUCAGAGAGCCAUUGUAAUUAGGAAGACACUUCACGUGGUUUCCAAUACAGACAGGCAUUAUUAUUGCCACGUUACAGUUGAGAAGAUUAAGCCACAGAAAGUUUAACUAGCCCCAAGUAAUAGUUAAAUGGCAGAACCACAGUCAAACUCCAAAGACAGUGGUCUAUACUAGUACACAUUACUGUCAGGCUACAUCCAAAUUCUUAGAAAAUAAUUUGGACUCAUCUCUGGGUACAGAUAAAUGAGCUUUUGAGGUCACAGAAUUCUGCUUCAUCUAGUGUGGCACCCGUAAUCACAAUUUCAUUAGCACAAAAUAACUGCUUUGAGCUAAGCAACUCACUCUAGAGGCUUCUGAGUACUCAAUCAGAUUAAAAGUAGGUGCCAUCCACCCAAAACUGUUACUUCGGUUUUAAGUGAGUUGAGGAGCAGCAUGUGGCCCUUAUUGCUGGCUGUUUACUAAGGCCGUUUCGAGGUUGUGAAAACAAGCCUGAUCCGAGUAUAGCACAGUGGCCUGAGAGUGAGGACCCCGGAGUGUGACGGGUCUGGUUCGCAUCUGCUUCACUACUUGCUAGCUGUGUGACCUUGGGAAAAUUAACUUCCCUUUCUGAGCCUCACUUCUCUUUUCUGUAAAGUGGGGAGUAUAAUUCCUACUUCAAUGUUGGACAGACCAAAUUACAAUAUGUGUACACAUACAUACCCCUGGCACAGGGCCCUCAACACUAGCAGCUACUAUUGUGAAUUUCUGAGAAAGAGGAUGCAUGUCUUUCUAUUCCCUAGAGCAGGGCAUCUACAGACAGCUCAUGCAAAAGUGUAUAAUUUAAUUAAGGAAAUAUUUCAAGAUAAAGAAAACUCAGAACCUGUCCCUAUUUUAUUCUGCUGGAUAUUGUAAACUGAACCAUGAAGAGACUCCAAGGCUGAAGCUAGUAUUACUGUCACUUCCAUGGCUCUAUGCGGGCUCAUGAUUCCCAUAUGGAGGUCAGGAAGCUUAGUAUGUGACCAAUUCUGCCUAAAGAGUCAUUAGCAAGGGAGGGUCAAUAAAGUCACAAUCUUAUAUAAGGCAUGCAUCCUUCCACCUACACCUCUUCAUCUUGUACCAGAUCUAGAUAGUGUCUCAGGUAAGCCUAAGAAUCUGAGCUCAGAAAUCAGAUCACCUGGACUCAGAUCCUGACUCCAACUUAGUAGCUGCAUGACUGAGGACAAGUUAUUUAACCCAACAUCAUGUUGCUUGGGGAAGUUUCCUUUGAUGACAACACAGAUGGGCAGAGAUGGGCUAUGAUUUAUGUCUUCCCUCCCAGCAUGUGCAUCCUGGGUCAUGACACAGGUAUUUGGAAGCUUAAGCCCCAGUAGGAAGCUGACCUUUCUGGAUUCUAUAGACCUGUGUUUAGCAUUAAGUAUUUUCAAAAAAGCUCUCUAAGCCAAGGGAAACAGCUUCUUCUGCCUAAUAAUUAAGACUUCUAAAGAAUGGUGGCCACUUUGAAUGACAGAGAGAAAUGGGGCAGGGAGAAAGGAACUGGCAUAUACUGGGCCAGUUCCUUCUGUGUGCCAGAUUUUACCCCCCACCCCACAUGCAGAUCUCCUAUCGCUACCCCCUUUAAAGAUCAAAAACAUUCUCAGAGGUUGUCUUCAUUUCACACACGAAGAGACAGUAGUUUGCCCAGGUUUACACAACUUAAUUCCCCAAGUCUUUCUGAUUUCAAAUCCCAAGCUCUCUCCUUCACAUGACACUGUUUAUGACUUUUCCUUACACACCCCUGUUUACCUGAUUUUAGAUCCAAAUAUUAAUAUUACAGGGCUCAGGUCUUGGCCUAGGAACAAGGACUGGCAUCCUCUUUUCUUCUUCCCCCAGUCUUCACAGAACUAUCUAGAAUUCCUCAUUCAGUCACACUGUCUGAAAUGUUAACAAGUAGAGACUUCCUAGGGUAAAAAGCCUCCUGGCACAUUCAGAUGUAGGGAAAAUCCCAUAUUUGAUUAUAAUAACAUUUUACUUCCUCUUUCCAACUUGAAAAAAAAACUCAAGCCUUCUUGUAUUACAGGUUCUCAGAAAUGUUGAUCCAUCUUUUGUAUCUAAGUUUUUAUUUCUCCUUUUGCAAAAGCUGCUCUAAAUACCAGCUUUGCUGCUCCGUAGGCUCUGAAUGGUCAGAAGAACAUUCACAUUACGAGGAUGACUCUGUGGAAUGCUUGACCACUAAGUUUGGUAAAUAGCUGGUCAGUCUUUUUCACUUUAGCCACAGCUGGGGAGGAAAGCCUCUAUAUGAGUGGCAGAGGCUGGCUGGCUGUUUACCAGACUCAUUUCUUCUUUCUGAGGACACAGUAGCUUACAUUUCCUAGCUUUCUUUGCCAUUGGUUUGCUACAGCCAUGCAAUUGAGUUCUAGCUAAUGGAAUAUGAGCAGAAGUGAUCCACUCCACUUCCAGUGUGAGACCCCUAACUCCCCUGCUCCCCAUGCACAGCCUUCCACUGUCUUCUUCCUAUUGCUGGCAUGAAGCACAUAAGCAAGCUAUCUUGGAAGCCAUGUGUUGAAGCUGGUGAAGACUACAAGAUGGAAGGAGCCUGGUCCCAGAAUCACCACUUGGAGGAAAGCUGCUUGCUGUUCAAGUACUCCAGUUUUGGAUUUCACACAGGGAGGGAUAACCAGUAAGGGAUAACAAGUUAAACCAGCAAGAUUUGGGUUUCUGACCCCCUAGUUGACCAACAGAUCAGCUGACCCCCUUCUGAUCCCCUAGCUGACUGACAGAUUCAUGAGAACUACUGGGGGAACCCGCCCCCAGUAUUUCAGCGUUGGUUCUUUCUAUUUUCCAUAAGUAUCAGCCGGCUGAGAAAUAAUGAGAAAGAGUACAAAGAGAGGAAUUUUACAGCAGGGCUGCUGGGGGUGACAUCACAUAUCGGUAGGACCGUGAUGCCUGCCCAAGCCUCAAAACCAGCAAGUUUUUAUUAAGGAUUUCAAAAGGGGAGGGGAUGUAUGAACAGGGAGCAGGUACAAAGAUCACAUGCUUUAAAGGGCAAAAAGCAGAACAAAGAUCACAUGCUUCUGAGAAAACAGGACAAGGGCAAAAGCAGAACUCCUGAUAAGGGUCUAUGUUCAGCGGUGCUUAUAUUGUCUUGAUAAACAUCUUAAACAACAGAAAACAGGGUUCAAGAGCAGAGAACUGGUCUGACCAUAAAUUUACCAGGGCCGGGUUUUUCCCCACCCUAAUAAGCCUGAGGGUACUGCAGGAGACCAGGGUGUAUUUCAGUCCUUAACUCAACCGCAUAGGACAGACAUUCCCAGAGCAGCCCUUUAUAGACCUCCCCCCAGGAAUGCAUUCCUUUCCCAGAGUAUUAAUAUUAAUAUCCCUUGCUAGGAAAAGAAUUUAGCGAUAUCCUUCCUACUUGCAUGUCCAUUUAUAGGCUCUCUGUAAGAAGAAAAAUAUGGCUCUUUUUGCCCAAUCCCACAGGCAGUCAGACCUUAUGGUUGUCUUCCCUUGUUCCCUAAAAAUCGCUGUUAUUCUAUUCUUUUUCAAGGUGUACUGAUUUCAUAUUGUUCAAACACACGUUUUACAAUCAAUUUGUACAGUUAACACAAUUAUCACAGUGGUCCUGAGGUGACGUACAUCCUCAGCUUACGAAGAUAACAGGAUUAAGAGAUUAAAGUAAGACAGGCAUAAGAAAUUAUAAAAGUAUUAUUUGGGAACUGAUAAAUGUCCAUGAAAUCUUCACAAUUUAUGUUCCUCUGCCACAGCUCCAGCCGGUCCCUCCGUUUGGGGUUCCUGACUUUCUGCAACAGAGAACAAUUGUUAUUUCAAGCCACUGAGCUUUGGGACAAUUUACUUUUGUUGCAGCAGCUAAUUAAGACAAUGCAGAUUCUCAUUGGAGAAUCUAAUGAUUCAAAAGUCAGUUAGAAUGGCUGACAUUGACAAGUCAGCCUAACCUCUUUCUUCUACCAACACCAUCACUACCACCACUGCUGCCGCCCUCCACUGUACUCCUAAAGAGAGUGGCUACUUUUGGGGAUUCUUAAUUUCUUGAAGUCACUGUGUGAAGGCCAAAGCAACUCCAUGUUGUAAUCUGCCAUGUUGCCUUCAGAUUAACCUCUGCUCUGGGAAGGCCAUUAAAAUUUCCAGUUUGUGGCCGGGCGCCGUGGCUCAUGCCUGUAAUCCCAGCACUUUGGGAGGCCGAGAUGGGCAAAUCGCAGGGUCAGGAGAUCAAGAUCAUCCUGGCUAACAUGGUGAAACCCUGUCUCUACUAAAAAUACAAAAAAAUUAGCUGGGCAUGGUGGCAGACGCCUGUAGUCCCAGCUAUGCGGGAGGCUGAGGCAGGAGAAUGGCGUAAGAGAAUCUGGGAGGCAGAGCUUUCAGUGAGCCGAGAUCAUGCCACUGCACUCCAGCCUGGGCGACAGAGCGAGACUCCAUCUCAAAAAAUAAAUAAAAUUUCUAGUUUGUCUGUUAUUCCUUGUGUAACAGCACAUACUUACUGUAAAUUCUGCUCUUAGGUCAAAACAACUUUGGUGUUAUCAUACUUUAAUUGUUCUACACAUCACUUCUGAAUCAUGUAUGCCCUUUUCCUGUGGUAUAUCAGCCCUGGGUCUGUGGGGUAAUGGUGCAGGGAUCCACCAUCUCAUCUCUCCACCACCAGAGACACAGACAUGGCUUCUGUUUGUAGGUCCCUAUUAAAUGUUACCUUCUAAGAGAUAGGAUUUGUCAGCCUCUUUCUUCAGCCUCUCAGCUUCCUUGUACUUUGGGGGUAGGUUUGCAUAGACCUGCCUGCCAUGGAACAAUUAUAAAUUUUUUUCUGAAAAAAUGGCAGUGUUAUAGUUGUGGAAUACUAUAGUCAUGUUACAUUUAGGAAGUGCCAGCCCAUGGUGUAUUUCAGAUGUAAUUUCAUUCCUUCCUAUUGGCUGGUGAGGCCGGAAGACUUUGGGGUGACAUCAUUGUGCACUUUGUUGGCAUAGAAGAAGGUAAUAUUUGUGAGUCUUGGGGUUUCAGCAUGAAACUGAGAAAGGGAAGUUCAGUGAAGAGGAGAAAAAGGGUAGAGUGGACACUUUUUUUUUGGAGUUGGACCAGCCUGAAGUAAGUAAAGAUUUCUGGGCCACCAAUGACUGUCCAUUGCACAGAUCCAAGCAUACCAGUCAGAAAGCAGCCACUUCCCAGGGAGCAUCAUGUAGAUUUUAGACUCCAAGGAUACCACAAGCCACUAUCAGGUGAGAGGUGCAAUUGUUACAACCCAGCAUAGAGGUCCCCUCUUUAUUUCUCAAAGUUUUGGGAGAACCCAAGACCCAUAGCCUUUAUUUUAGGGACUGUUUAAUCAUCUUGGCAGAGAAAGAGACUACGUAAUUGACUCAGGUCAUUUGAGAUCUUAGCAUUAACCAAGAUCCUGUAACACAGGCAGAUUUAGCCCUUUUGUUUCUAUUUCUAUAUUUAAUAUAAAUUUAUAUUAAAUUCUUGCAAAAAUUUAGCUUUUGGCUAAAGUCAGCUUUUGGCCACAGCUGUUGAUCAGCAGGGAAACAGAAGGAGAGGCCUCUGAUGUCAGUAAGGGAUUUUCACACUUAGCAAGCAACUCUUGUGGCCAGUUGCACAAAAGCAGAGUUGUAGUGAGAUAUCCAAUUCCCAUUAGAGAAAUAAGGGAGCUGGAACUCAGAGAACAUAAGUGAUUUGCUCACAGUCAAGGCUUGUGAGUGGCUGUGCUGGGACUGGAGUCAGGCGAACAUGGCCCUGAGGUCCAUAUUGAAUAGAAACCUUCUCUAUGAUUCCUCAACAGACACACAUACCCAUGCUGUUUCAGGUCCACUCUCAGGUUGCUUCUGCUGGGGCCUUAUGUGCCUGAGGGCAGAAACUCAUAAUCAUUUGAGGACCCACAAGGUGUUGCAGUCCAGCAUGACCAUUUCAGACUCCAGCAUGAUAUUUCAAACCAUAUAGGGUAGCAUCCUACCCUAUAUGAUUCCUAGCUGGGGCCCCCAUCACCAGGGAAAUGGUGCUGGUUCUCACCCAGAAAUAGAUAAAGAGGAAGUGUCUCUGCUGAAUAAGAACAGGUAUGCAUGCCUAUCCCGACUCCCUGCUCCCUGAAUGAAGCAGGGCCUCCUGGCAUCGCUUGAUGUUUGUGAUGCUAUCCCCGGUUGCAUUGGCAGCAGCCAACACCAGGGUUUUCCAGUGGCUGAGGUCCAACACGUGGUUAAUGUCAUUGCCUUUUCCUCCCUUCCUUGGGAUCAGGGGAAUAAAUGUCUCUUACUUAGAACUGUUCCACACAGACUUAGAGUGACAGAGAAGUAAUUUAACCUAUUAAAGGCCAUUUUGAGCAAAAACCACCUUGUGUCACUGAAGCUGUAGAACUGAGCCACAGGAGGAAACUGUUAAAGUCGCAGGGUCAAGGACAAGGUACCUAUGUUAUCCCGAUGGCAUAGAAGCACAGCCUGAGUCUCUUCUUUGGCUGAGCCAAGGGCGUGCUGGAGAGGCCUGAGAGAAGAAGGAACGGCCCUUCUGACCAGUGCCCUUUUGGUUCACAAGGAACGUCUCCUCUUGUUUAAGUGAUUUGGCUGAGCUUGCUACUUCUGCUUUGAGAGUCAAAUAUCAGGAUCAAGACUUUAAUUAUCCCCAAUUUACAGAUGAUGAAACCAUAUUGGGCAGGAAAGAAAGUCACCGCAGGAGAGCGAGUUGGACCUGGGCACUGGCUGAGGACAAAGGGGAAUGAUAAUUUGGGAUGUAGCUUGUUAAGGGGCCUCCCAAGUGUUCUUGUGAUCCAGGUGUGGAGAGGAUAGAGCAGAAUGGUUGCCAGGGAGAUGCAGGUAGGGUGCACUGCAAGAGUGGGAGAAAUUAAAGAGAACAUGCAACAAAGCCUUGGGACAGCGGGAGGGGGAUGGACCACCCUGUUUUGUGCUACGAGAGAAGAGAGCAAGAAAAGGAAUCUGUGUUAAAUCCCGACAGCCUGCAGGAGAAGCAAAUGCCCUUCCUUUUGUUCAUCAGCAGUGAGACUGGCAUCCCUGUAGCUUUGGGAAACUGGCCAGUGUGGAUGCCAGCUCCCUCCAGCGGGCCUGACUGGGAGACCUUGGGCUGGGGUUCUGGUCUGGGGCUCCUAGGCCUGAUGGGAGGAGAGUUCAGCCCAGGUUUCCUGUGCUUCAGCUCGUAUCCAGAUGAUGGUAACUAUUGAAAUGAGAGACUCAAAAGAAGCUGGAAACUGCAUUUUUUGUUGUCCCAUGUGGACACCUGUGUUCAGUUCCUAGUUCUACCUCUUGCUGUCUGUGUGUUCUUAGGUAACUGACUUAAACCUUUCUGAGUCUCAUUUUCUUCAUUUAUGAAAUAAAAGACAUAACACUUAUGUCAGAUAUUGUCCUGAGGAUUAAAUGGGAGAAUGAGCAAGACUCUUCUGCAUUCCCCUUGCGUCCAGUGGGUGGAGGCCAGAGAAGCUGCUAAACAUCCUGCCAGGUGCAGGACAGCCCCCAUCACAAAGAAUUGACUGGAUCCUGAUGUCAGUAAGGCAGAAUUGAGGAUCCUUGGUGUGGGGGAAAAAGAAUAAACUCGGAAGCUUGGCAGAUCUCAAUUCAAACCCUGGUUGUACCACCUCUAGCUGAGUGACCUUAGGCAGGUCUAUGAACUCUCUGAGACUUGGCCUCCUCAUCGAUAAAAUGAGGGAGAUAAAACUACCAAGCUCACCAGAAAUAACCCCAUGCAUAUAUGGUCAACUAAUCUUUGACAAGGUCAUCAAGGAUACACAAUGUAGAUUCUUUUAUUCCUUUACUUUCUUAAUAGGCUUCCUUUCACUCUACUUUUACAAAAAAGAAUACACAAUGUAGAAAGGAAACUCUCUUCAAUGAAUGGUGUUGGGGAAAGUUCCUGCAAAAGAAUGAAAUUGCACACUUGUUUUACAUCAUAUACAAAAAAUUAGCUCAAAAUGGAUUAAAGAUUUAAAUGUAAUAUCUGAAACCAUAUAACUCCUAGAAGGAAACAUAGGGAAAAUAUCUUCUUGACAUUGGUCUUGGCAAUAAUAUUUUUUUGCCAUAACACCAAAGCACAGGCAACAAAAGCAAAAAUAAAUAAAUGGGACUAUAUCAAACUUAAAACGUUUUACAUAGCAAAGGAAACAAUGACAAAAUGAAAAGGCAACCUAUGGAAUGGAAGAAAAUAUUUGCAAUCCAUAUAUUUGAUAAGGGGUUAAUUAUAUAAGGAAUUCACACAACUCAAUAGCAAAAAUUAAUAAAUACAUAAAUAACCCAAUUAAAAAUAGGUAAUGGACCUGAAUGGACUUUUUUUUCCCCAAGGAAGACAUACAAAUGGCCAGCCAGCAUAUGCAAAGGUGCUCAAUGUCACUAAUCAUCAAAGAAAUGCAAAUCGAAACCGCAAUGAGAUAUUGCCACAUAGGAUAGGACAGCUAUUCUAAAAAAGAGAAGAGAUAACAAGUGUUGGUGAAAGUGUGGAGAAAAGAGAACCCUUGUACACUGUUGGUUGGAAUGUAAAGUGGUAUAACCUUUAUGGAAAACAGUAUGGAAGUGCCUCAAAAAAUUAGAAGUGAAAGUACCAUACAAUUCAGCAAUCCCACUUCAGGAUAUAUACUCCCCAGAAUGGAAUUAGAAUCUUGAAGAGAGAUCUGUGCCCCAUGUUUAUUGCAGCAUUAUUCACAAUAGCUAAGAUAUGGAAACAUCCUAAGUGCCCAUCAACAGAUGAAUGGAUAAAUAAUAUGUAUAUAAACCAUGGACUAUUAGCCAUUAAAAAGAAGAAACUCCUGUCAUGGAUAAACCUGGAGGAUAUUAUGCUGAGUGAAAUAAGCCAGACACAGAAAGACAAGUUUUGUAUGAUCUCACUUCUAUGUGGAAUCUAAGAUAGUGAAAUGCAUAAAAACAGAUAGUAGAAUGGUGGUUGCCAAGGGCUGGGGGUGGGGAAAAUGGGAAGCUAUUAAUCAAAGGCUAUAAACUUUCAGUUGUAAGAUGAACAAAUGCUGGAGAUUUAAUGUACAGCAUAGGUGAUAAUGGAUGUAAUAAAUUUGUGAUAAUUAGUACACAAUAUAUACAUAUAUGAAAUCAUCAUGUUGUAUGCAUUAAAUAUAUACAAUCCUUGUCAACUAAAUUUUUUUUAAUUUAAAUGCCUAGGUCAUAAGAAUUCUGAGAAUUAAAUACAAUAACAUAUAUGAAUGGGCCUGCUAUACAGAAGGUGCUAAAUAGGUUUGUUUUGUUUUGUUUUAUUUCAACUCUGGCAGAUGUAGACUUAUUGGGAAAGAAUGUAGAAUACCCUUGUGCACAAGGAUUAUCUAUAUGAUGACUAAAUAUCCUGCAUACAUGCCAUGUCAUUUCUUUUUUUUUUAUAUGCAAUACUUUUAUUUUAGACAUGCAAGGAAAGCUAUUUCAGAAUCUACUAAUUUAAAGCAAGCAGCUGUAUACAGACAGCAAAAGAAGCAACAUUUUGUUACAGCUUAGCACAAGGCAUCCAACGCAAACAGACAUGAGACAAUGCAUAUUUAUGUAGCAUUAAAACCAGAUGAAUAAUAUAUUAUGGGGCAGGAGGAGGAAAGGAGGGGAAAAAUAGAAAUGAAAGACCAAUGUUUCUCAAUGCUUCCAAUAUAUAAUGCUAAAUUUCCCACCUGAUAGCACAUCCAGGUGCUUCAAAUGUAGUGCAUUACAGUGAGAAUGUUAAGAAUGGAAAAUCUUAUCUGUGUACCUGCCUAAUACUAAGUUUGGUCAAAACACAUUUUCAUAGAUCUUCUUUCAGUGGUAAAUCGAUUUGAACAUCUUGUGAAGUUAUUGUUUAAUAACUUACUUAACUUAGGCUUUAUGCUGUCUAUAUAUAAACAAUGAAUUCUUUUCCUUUUAUAAAAAAAUAUGCUGCAUGUUUUAUUAAAAGAAUAUGCAAUAGUUACCAAUAUUAAAGGUUUUAAAAUUCAGAAAUAUAAUGCCACAGUUAACAAAGUAUUAAGUAUUUAAAUGAGGACUUAAUAUAUUAGAAUGCCAUCACUAGUAAAAUAUAAGUAUUUAGGUAUUA